This 4604-nucleotide long non-coding RNA is filed under the name Salmo salar (Atlantic salmon). RNAcentral's name for it is "lncRNA (ENSSSAG00000097803.1)". Lineage: Eukaryota; Metazoa; Chordata; Actinopteri; Salmoniformes; Salmonidae. The record is from RNAcentral.
CGGGUUUGUCCCUCAGAGUUAGGCCUGUGGACGGGUUUGUCCCUCAGAGUUAGGCCUGUGGACGGGUUUGUCCCUCAGAGUUAGGCCUGUGGACGGGUUUGUCCCUCAGAGUUAGGCCUGUGGACGGGUUUGUCCCUCAGACUUUGGAAAGUGAUACAUUCCAUUCAUCCAAUAGUGACAGGAGCUGGAGAACCAAAACAACGACAAAGUAAUCAAGAUCCAGAGAGACAGGCCUUCUCUGGUUGGUUGUCCUGCCUCCUGUCCUGAGAGCAGAGUCCCUGGACUGGUCCAGAGACAGGCCUUCUCUGGUUGGUUGUCCUGCCUCCUGUCCUGAGAGCAGAGUCCCUGGACUGGUCCAGAGACAGGCCUUCUCUGGUUGGUUGUCCUGCCUCCUGUCCUGAGAGCAGAGUCCCUGGACUGAUCCAGAGACAGGCCUUCUCUGGUUGGUUGUCCUGCCUCCUGUCCUGAGAGCAGAGUCCCUGGACUGAUCCAGAGACAGGCCUUCUCUGGUUGGUUGUUCUGCCUCCUGCCCUGAGAGCAGAGUCCCUGGACUGAUCCAGAGACAGGCCUUCUCUGGUUGGUUGUCCUGCCUCCUGUCCUGAGAGCAGAGUCCCUGGACUGAUCCAGAGACAGGCCUUCUCUGGUUGGUUGUCCUGCCUCCUGUCCUGAGAGCAGAGUCCCUGGACUGGUCCAGAGACAGGCCUUCUCUGGUUGGUUGUUCUGCCUCCUGUCCUGAGAGCAGAGUCCCUGGACUGAUCCAGAGACAGGCCUUCUCUGGUUGGUUGUCCUGCCUCCUGUCCUGAGAGCAGAGUCCCUGGACUGUUCCAGAGACAGGCCUUCUCUGGUUGGUUGUCCUGCCUCCUGUCCUGAGAGCAGAGUCCCUGGACUGAUCCAGAGAGUGUGGACACUGCCAGCCAGGGGGAUGCCCUAUCGCGUGCCACCUCAACCCUCAAUAAACUGAUCUUAUCAGUUCCAGGGUAGUGGAGCCACGUGCAGCACGCAAGUCCAGGGCAUCAUUACCCCGUGGCACCACUACUCUGCCAGUCUUAUGAGCAUGGCGGCCAUCUUGAUGACUGGCAUACCUGGUUUACAACCUGUUUUAUAUCUGUCAUUACCACUUAUUGACUUCCAUAUUCUGGGGAAUGUUCUGUUACGCUCUUUUAAUCCCUCCCUGUCUGUCUGCCGCUCUCUCUGUCUUUCAGUUCAAUUCAAGGGGCUUUAUUGGCAGGGAAACAUAUAUUUACAUUGUCAAAGCAAGUCAAAUGGAUAAAGAAAAGUGAAAUAAACAAUAAAAAGUGAACAGUAAAUAUUACACUCACAUUUCAAAUGUCAUAUUAUGUCUAUAUACAGUCUUUCUGUCUCUCUGUUCCCCUCUCUCGCUCUCUCUAUCUAUCUAUUUCUCUCGCUCUCUCAGUCCCUCUCCCCUGGCUCUAUAGUAUCACAACAGUGUGGAAGUGGGGGAACGUGUGUGUGUUUGUAUCAUUCCAUUGGGCAGAAGCUGGCCUAGGAUCCCUCUGAUUGCUGGUUAUCUUCAGAUGGAAGCUUUAAUCACACAGGAGGACAUCAGUGUGUGGAAACUCCCUUAAAGUUAGGACUCUUACCAUUACUAAGGGGAGGUCCCAAUCACACACACACACACACACACACACACACACACACACACACACACACACACACACACACACACACACACACAUGCUUAGUGUUUGUCUCUAAACAUGGCUGCUAUAGAAAGGCCGUCCUGCAUUGCAGAAGUGUCUAGGGGAGUGUUAGAGGGGGAGUGUUAGAGGGGGAUUAUUAGAGGGGGAGUGUUAGAGGGGGAUUAUUAGAGGGGGAUUAUUAGAGGGGGAUUAUUAGAGGGGGAGUGUUAGAGGGGGAGUGUUAGAGGGGGAUUAUUAGAGGGGGAGUGUUAGAGGGGGAGUGUUAGAGGGAGUGUUAGAGGGGGAGUGUUAGAGGGGGAUUAUUAGAGGGGGAUUAUUAGAGGGGGAUUGUUAGAGGGGGAGUGUUAGAGGGGGAUUAUUUUACCCUGUUCUAGAACACACAUGUGACAAUCAGAUAUGGUAAAGAAAACACAGUGAUGUGAUUUAGUAAUUAUUUCUGGGACUAUUAGUCUCUGGAGUCUCUGGUGUUUGUUCUAGCCAAGCUGGCUGGGAGUCUGACACCCCCCCUUAACCAAAAUGAGAACCGGGUCUGUGGGUGCGUCCCAAAUGGUAUCGUAUUCCCUACAUAGAGCCCUAUAGGCCCUGGUCUAAAGUAGUGCACUAUGUAGGGAGUAGGGGUGUCAUUUGGGACGCUGACUGUGUGUGAGGUAGAGCUGUUCUCUUCUGCUUUCUCCAUCUACCCUCCGUUAUAAACCUCCCUAAACAACGACUGACUGGAUGGAUGGACAGAGAGAGAGAGAGACAGAGAAAGAGAGAUACAGAGAGAGAGAGAUACAGAGAGAGAGAGAGAGAGAGAGAGAGAGAGAGAGACAGAGAGAGAGACAGAGACACAGAAAGAGAGAGAGAGAGAGACAGAGACACACAGAGAGAGAGAGAGAGAGACAUAGAGAGAGACAUAGAGAGAGAGACUACACUGUAUAUAUAGACAUAAUGACAUUUGAAAUGUCUUUAUUUAUUUGGAACUUGUGUGAGUGUAAUAUUUACUGUUAACUUUUUAUUGUUUAUUUCACUUUUAUUUAUCCAUUUCACUUGCUUUGGCAAUGUUAACAUAUGUUUCCCAUGCCAAUAAAGCCCCUUGAAUGGAAUUGAAUUGAGAGAGAGUGUAUUUUAUUUACAGCCACUAGUUUCAGUUCAGCUCCCCAUUUCAGUGUUUGUUAAUAAAGAUCAAGCAGUCACCUUCCUGUUAGUGAGGGAGUUGUCAUGGAAACAGUUGUAUAUUACCUGGGGAAAUUCUAAAAGCCAUGAAGUUGUCCUAUAAAGUAUGUCUGUCCUGUACUGUGUCUGAUUCAAAACUGCUGUCCUGUCCUAGUCCCCAUCUUUACCCUUUCUAGGGUUCCUAUGUAGGGUGGUUCAUGUCUGUUAUCUUCUAUGGGCUACGUGGGACGCUAGCGUCCCACCCACGGUUCACACUAUUCAACAGCCAGUGAAAAAUCAGAGCGCCAAAUUCGAAAACAACAAAAUGCCAUAAUUCAAAUUUCUCAAACAUACAACUAUUUUACACCAUUUUAUAGAUAAACAUCUCCUGAAUCCAACCACGUUGUCCGAUUUCAAAACGGCUUUACGGCGAAAGCAUAAAGUUAGAUUAUGUUAGGACAGUACAUAGACAAAAAAUUACACACAGCCAUUUUCAAUGCAAGGACAAGCGUCACCAAAAGCAGAAAACCAGCAAAAAUUAUGCACUAACCUUUGACAAUCUUCAUCAGAUGACACUCCUCGGACAUUAUGUUAGAACAAAAAAUGCAUGUAUUGUCUAUCAAGUUCAUAUUUAUAUCCAAAAACAGCAUUUUACAUUGGCGCGUGAUGUUCAGAAAAUAUCUUUCCUCCGAAACUGCCGGUGAAUCAGCACAACAAAUUACAAAAUGACUCAUUAUAAACGUUGAUAAAAUAUUAAACUGUUAUUCAAAGAAUUAUAGAUUAACAUCUCCUGAAUGCAAUCGCGUUGACAGAUUUCAAAAUAACUUUACUGGGAGAGCACACUUUGCAAUAAUCUGAGUACUGCGCUCAGAAAAAAACAGCAGGCAAUUAUAGACACCGGCCGUCUUGGAGUCAUCUAAACGCAUAAAUAGCAUAAGAAGUAUUCACUUACCUUUAAUAAUCUUCAUCAGAAGGCACUUCCAGGAUUCCCAGGUCCACAAUAAAUGUUGUUUUGUUCGAUAAAGUUCAUAAUUUAUGUCCAAAUAACUCCAUGUUGUUUGCGCGUUCAGUAGGCUACUCAAAAUGUAGGGCGCGCGAGAAAACCUUCACGACGAAAGUAAAAAAAAGUACUAUUUACGUUCGUUCAAACAUGUCAAACGUUGUAUAGCAUCAAUCUUUAGGGCCAUUUUAAGUUCAAACUUCAAUACGUUCCAACCGGACCCAUGCAUUGUCUUGAAAAAUGUUUUGGAACGCAGGUAUCUGCUAACGUGAUGAACUGAAGUGUUUUUCUGGUCACCUGCUUACCAGCGUUCUCCUUCGGUCUGUGUUUACCGCAAAAGGCUCAAACAACUUUCUAAGACUGUUGACAUCUAGUGGAAUCCUUAGGAAGUGCUAUUUGAGUCCUAACUCACUGUGUGUCAGAAAGGCAAGGACUUGAGAAAACUACAGGAACCAGAAUUUCAUUUCCUGGUUGGAUUUCUCUCAGGUUUUUGCCUGCCAUAUGAGUUCUGUUAUACUCACAGACACCAUUCAAACAGUUUUGGAAACUUUAGACUGUUUUCUAUCCAAAUCUACUAAUCAUUUGCAAACAUUUGACUCUGGGCCAGAGUAUUAGGCCGUUUACUCUGGGCACGCUUUUCAUCCAAAACUGAAAAUACUGCCCCCUAGCCCUAAAAGGAUUUAUCCUAACUAGGGUUCCUAUGUAGGGUGGUUCAUCAUGUCUGUUAUCCUAACUAGGGUUCCUAUGUAGGGUGGUUCAUCAUGUCUGUUAUCCUAACUAGGGUUCCUAUGUAGGGUGGUUCAUCAUGU